Molecule: ribosomal RNA, 813 nt
Filed under: Curtobacterium sp. 003.38
Lineage: Bacteria; Bacillati; Actinomycetota; Actinomycetes; Micrococcales; Microbacteriaceae
Description: bacterial SSU rRNA
Rfam family: Bacterial small subunit ribosomal RNA
Source: RNAcentral
GUCGCGUCUGCUGUGAAAUCCCGAGGCUCAACCUCGGGCUUGCAGUGGGUACGGGCAGACUAGAGUGCGGUAGGGGAGAUUGGAAUUCCUGGUGUAGCGGUGGAAUGCGCAGAUAUCAGGAGGAACACCGAUGGCGAAGGCAGAUCUCUGGGCCGUAACUGACGCUGAGGAGCGAAAGCGUGGGGAGCGAACAGGAUUAGAUACCCUGGUAGUCCACGCCGUAAACGUUGGGCGCUAGAUGUAGGGACCUUUCCACGGUUUCUGUGUCGUAGCUAACGCAUUAAGCGCCCCGCCUGGGGAGUACGGCCGCAAGGCUAAAACUCAAAGGAAUUGACGGGGGCCCGCACAAGCGGCGGAGCAUGCGGAUUAAUUCGAUGCAACGCGAAGAACCUUACCAAGGCUUGACAUACACCGGAAACGGCCAGAGAUGGUCGCCCCCUUGUGGUCGGUGUACAGGUGGUGCAUGGUUGUCGUCAGCUCGUGUCGUGAGAUGUUGGGUUAAGUCCCGCAACGAGCGCAACCCUCGUUCUAUGUUGCCAGCGCGUUAUGGCGGGGACUCAUAGGAGACUGCCGGGGUCAACUCGGAGGAAGGUGGGGAUGACGUCAAAUCAUCAUGCCCCUUAUGUCUUGGGCUUCACGCAUGCUACAAUGGCCGGUACAAAGGGCUGCGAUACCGUAAGGUGGAGCGAAUCCCAAAAAGCCGGUCUCAGUUCGGAUUGAGGUCUGCAACUCGACCUCAUGAAGUCGGAGUCGCUAGUAAUCGCAGAUCAGCAACGCUGCGGUGAAUACGUUCCCGGGCCUUGUACACACCGC